This 174-nucleotide non-coding RNA is filed under the name Escherichia coli BL21(DE3). The record is from RNAcentral. Lineage: Bacteria; Pseudomonadati; Pseudomonadota; Gammaproteobacteria; Enterobacterales; Enterobacteriaceae.
AUGACGACACUUAUUUAUUUGCAAAUUCCUGUCCCUGAACCGAUUCCUGGCGAUCCUGUUCCAGUGCCCGAUCCGAUCCCUCGCCCGCAACCCAUGCCUGACCCACCACCCGAUGAAGAACCGAUUAAAUUGUCGCAUCGUGAGCGUAGAUCUGCGAGGAUACGCGCCUGCUAA